RNAcentral lists this ribosomal RNA (414 nucleotides) under Micrococcus sp. 1182. RNAcentral's name for it is "bacterial SSU rRNA". It matches the Rfam family "Bacterial small subunit ribosomal RNA", at positions 1103 to 1513 of the family's 1533-position model. The record is from RNAcentral. Lineage: Bacteria; Bacillati; Actinomycetota; Actinomycetes; Micrococcales; Micrococcaceae.
CCUCGUUCCAUGUUGCCAGCACGUCGUGGUGGGGACUCAUGGGAGACUGCCGGGGUCAACUCGGAAGAAUGUGAAGACGACGUCAAAUCAUCAUGCCCCUUAUGUCUUGGGCUUCACGCAUGCUACAAUGGCCGGUACAAUGGGUUGCGAUACUGUGAGGUGGAGCUAAUCCCAAAAAGCCGGUCUCAGUUCGGAUUGGGGUCUGCAACUCGACCCCAUGAAGUCGGAGUCGCUAGUAAUCGCAGAUCAGCAACGCUGCGGUGAAUACGUUCCCGGGCCUUGUACACACCGCCCGUCAAGUCACGAAAGUUGGUAACACCCGAAGCCGGUGGCCUAACCCUUGUGGGGGGAGCCGUCGAAGGUGGGACCAGCGAUUGGGACUAAGUCGUAACAAGGUAGCCGUCACCGGAAGUG